RNAcentral lists this ribosomal RNA (466 nucleotides) under uncultured bacterium. RNAcentral's name for it is "partial 16S ribosomal RNA". It matches the Rfam family "Bacterial small subunit ribosomal RNA", at positions 28 to 507 of the family's 1533-position model. The record is from RNAcentral.
GAUGAACGCUGGCGGCGUGCUUAACACAUGCAAGUCGAACGAUGAAGCCCAGCUUGCUGGGUGGAUUAGUGGCGAACGGGUGAGUAACACGUGAGUAACCUGCCCUUGACUCUGGGAUAAGCCCGGGAAACUGGGUCUAAUACCGGAUAGGAGCGCCUGUCGCAUGACGGGUGUUGGAAAGAUUUUUCGGUCAUGGAUGGACUCGCGGCCUAUCAGCUUGUUGGUGAGGUAAUGGCUCACCAAGGCGACGACGGGUAGCCGGCCUGAGAGGGUGACCGGCCACACUGGGAAUGAGACACGGCCCAGACUCCUACGGGAGGCAGCAGUGGGGAAUAUUGCACAAUGGGCGGAAGCCUGAUGCAGCGACGCCGCGUGAGGGAUGACGGCCUUCGGGUUGUAAACCUCUUUCAGUAGGGAAGAAGCGAAAGUGACGGUACCUGCAGAAGAAGCACCGGCUAACUACGUG